AGAGAAGAAACAAUCAUUUUCUAAGCAAUAAGGUUACUGAACUACUUUGGCUGAGUAAAUAACUCUGUUUGCUUCAGGGCACAUUCAGAGAAAUUUCCAAUUCUUGUCGUGGAUUAUGACAUGUUUUCCGCUUGAUAAGACAACAGAAGUGUGUAUUGGACAUUUAAGCAGAUUUUAAUGUGCAAGUUCUCAACACGCUGGUUUUCCCAGGACUGCUGCUGGAUGGAUCAAGAAGCCUGCUGGAGCUUGAGAGUCCUGAAGAAGCUGCCUCUUCCUUGACCCCACUGCUACUCUGUACGUGGCUGGAUCUCUUGGAAAUUGCCAACCCUGGAGAGAAGUGUCUUUGACUUCUCUCCUGGCCUGGACAAACCACAGAGGAAACUUAAGGCAAAGAAGCCAACAUAACACAGAGACUGAGACUCUGAGGAAUGUGAUAUGGAGAUGGAAAAAUGGGGCUGGAUUUCAGUGGCACGAUCUCAGCUUACUGCAACCUCCGCCUCCUGGGUUCAAUGGAUUCUCCUGCCUCAGCCUCCGGAGUAGCUGGGACUAUAGGCAUGCAACCACACUCAGCUAAUUUUUGUAUUUUUAGUAGAGACAGAUUUGCACCAUGUUGGCCAGGAUGGCCUCAAUCUCUUGACCUCGUGAUCUGCCCACCUCGGCCGCCCAAAGUGCUGGGAUUACAGGUAUGAGCCACCUUGCCGGGCUUCAAGAAGUUUUAAAUCUGAGAUUCCUAUAAGAUCAAUGUGGAAAGAAAAAGUUAUAUUUCCAAAGAAAAACUGUAAUACACCUGUGCAUUGUUUUUUUGUUCUUAUUCUCUGACUGAAUCAAUUUCUGAAUUUUCCUAAUUUUCUCCAAUAUUUGGCUACAACUCUGUAACUCAAACAAAAAAAAGCUACUCUGUUCCUAUAAAAAGCAAUAUAGAGUUGAAACUAGAUGAAUUUCAAGAGACAAACCCUGUAUCUGAUGUAUGGACCACAUAAAAUGUUCACUAAGCUGCCUGAUGUCAUGACCAGAAACACUCAAACUACAAACUAGGAGAAGUUAAUGUUUUCACAGUGUAAAAAGCUUUUCUCAAGACACAGAAACAAGACUCCAGAUCAUAGUAAGAAUCUUACCCCACUUGCUACCUUUUGUACUUGACAAGAUAAUGAUUAAUUGAAAUUUCAUAAUCAAUAGCUUCUGCUGGUAACUUAACAGAAGGUAACCUAAUAAAUCCUUCAGUACCCAUUGGUUGAAUUAAAAAAAUAUAUAUGUGCUAUUGCUAGUACUACAUGCCGAUCUAGAUAAAUUUCUCUGGGAAAAGUUGACCCUCAUAUAUACAAAAUAAGCAAACAAGCUACAUGCUUACAAAAUCCUUCAUCUAAUUCCCUAUGCUUAUUUGAUUCAUGCAAUUGGUGAUCUUAAAGUCAAGGUUUAUGGCUCAAAACCAUUACCUAAACUGGAAUUGUCACAUUAUUAUUAAUAUUACUUUGUAUUUUCCUUGUUUAAGCUUUAUAUCUGUUACUAAUUAAAUUUUUGCAGAAGUUCAACUUCUAACAAAAUAAUACUGACCCUACACUUUAAGCUGGUAUCAAAAGACCAUGGAACAGACAAAAUUGAACUUACUAAUGAACUCUGAGUGGACUUAGCAUGAGAGCCCCUCCUUUUAAACCUCUGUUGUUGCUCAAAUAUGGCUAAAAGAAUGUUGACACUGACUGCUACUUGCUCAUCCUUCUCCCCAAUGUGGAAUGAGACCAGCAACUGGGACAGGUACAUUCUGGUGUCAAGGGACAACAAGUCUUAACUAUAGUGUAAUUUAUCAGUGAUACUUUCAGAGAAAGAUCUUGAUCAAAAGGGGGAAAUGUGAAAGUCAUCAGAAUCCAAAUGGAGCCACUAAUUUUAAGAAAAGUCUGACACAUAGAGCUGGGGAAGGCUAUAAAGAGAAGGUUCUCAUGCUUGUACACUUUAUAAUGAAACCACAACCUUGCACAAAGUCUGUCACAACCUUAUACAAAAAAUAUUUCUGCAAGGACAUCCGCUCAGCAGCUGCAUGGCCAAACUUGGACUGGUGUCACCUUUGUUUUAAUCUUUGAAGCAGUGGAGAAGUUUUUCAAAAUGAUUAGGUAAUUUUUCUCAUUUUUUUCUGUAAAACCUUUUGUCUUCCUUUACUUCCCUGAAUAUGCAUGUAGUUUACUACGGCAUGUAUAUUUCUUUCGCAAUGCUCUAUUCCCAAAUAGGCAUCUUAUUUUUAGACAGCCUCUCUUUGUCUGUUAUUUUGAUUGACAAUGUAUAUGUGUGUGUUGAAUAGUAAAGUAAAAAUAAAUAUAUAUUUUUUAAUUUGGAAUUGCAGUUAAAAACUCUUAGGGUCACACUAUAAAAAUAUUCCACUGCAACAGGAAAUAUAACUUUUUCCCUUGUCUAUGGCAAUGGUGAACCCAAGCCAGGAGGGAAACUCAGCCUUAAUGAAUACAACAUGGUGGUAAUAAAGAGAGAUUCUGAUGUUGAAUUACUCUUUUAGUUGCUACCCUCUUUUGUUUUGUUUUGUUUUUUUCCAAAGGCAAAAAGACCUUCGACUAAGCUUGUCCUGAGAUUCCUGUGUUGUCUUUUGUGCUUUUCCUACAUCACCUUCUAAAUCCAUACUUUAAUUUUAGAAGAAAAUGAGAAUCUCUCAGUGACUCUUCCCGUAGUUUGUCUGAGUUUUGGCAAACUGACAACUGGGAGUCUGCCUUUGUAACUUUCUGUCUUUCUGACGUGUUCACUGAGAUCUCCAAUAAAAGACACAACAACCCA
Long non-coding RNA from Gorilla gorilla gorilla (western lowland gorilla), 2769 nucleotides. RefSeq lists it as uncharacterized. NCBI's taxonomy places the organism in Eukaryota, Metazoa, Chordata, Mammalia, Primates, Hominidae. The record is from RefSeq and is a predicted model, not a curated record. The transcript has 4 exons.